UACGAAGGGGGCUAGCGUUGCUCGGAAUUACUGGGCGUAAAGGGCGCGUAGGCGGGUCGUUUAGUUAGAGGUGAAAGCCCAGGGCUCAACCCUGGAAUUGCCUUUAAUACUGGCGGCCUUGAGUAUGGCAGAGGUGUGUGGAACUCCGAGUGUAGAGGUGAAAUGCGUAGAUACCCGGAGGAACACCAGUGGCGAAGGCGGCUUCCUGGUCUGCGACUGACGCUGUGGCGCGAAAGCUAGGGGAGCAAACGGG
Molecule: ribosomal RNA, 253 nt
Filed under: uncultured bacterium
Lineage: Bacteria
Description: partial 16S ribosomal RNA
Rfam family: Bacterial small subunit ribosomal RNA
Source: RNAcentral